AUGGAGGAGUUUGGCUCUUAUAACACCCUGCAAGCAGCUAUUUCCUCCCAGGACCCUGCAUUUGACAGAGUCCUGGUAAAGUCCUUGACCCAGCAGCUGGUACAAGGAUGCAAGGAGGCGUCAAGACCAGCUUCUGCUGCAACAAACCCAUCAGACCAGGCUGAGACAGAGAGGGGGGCUGAGCAGAAAGCAAGAAGGAGCUUCCUUUGCUUUUCAAUGACCAAACUCAGGAUCAACUUCAAGCGUUCCAAGAGAGGAAACAAAAAGGACUGCCAUUCAGUCCAGGAACAGACUGAAAUUCCCUCUACUGAUGCACAUUGCAUAGAUCCAGCCCCAGACGGUGGCCCUGACGCAGACUACAUCUUCAGCCCAGCCCCAGGUCCAGAUGAUUCCAGCAGGCACAGCCACAGCCCAGGUGGUUCAGCAGAAGCUCCUCCAGCAGCAGGUGGUGACUGCAGCUGCCUCGCCUCAGAUACAGACCCCACCCUCCACACAGCCCGGCCCAACAUGCCCCAGUUUCCGCUGUAGCAGAGUCCCCAGUACAGCAGCAGCCAGCCAAGGGCCAGGCCACGGAGGGGCCAUGAGGGGCAAGACCCAGGCCAAGCCCAGCGGGGGCAGCAGCUAGGUGCCCACAGGACUAGUUAGUGCUCCCCUUUCAGCUAGGCUAAGCAGGACAUCUCAUCAGUGUAAAUGCACUCAGUGACUGAGGAGCAGCAUUAUGAAGAGAUCCAGCGUUAUGAAGGAGUGGUGGAGUCCAGUUUGAGGUGGCUGUGUUGAAUCUAACCUGGUUUAAGGAACUGCUCCAUAUAAAGGAAUGACCUGUCUUUUAAGAGUGUCAUCAUCUAUCUUCAACACAGUACUGUAACUGUCGGCUGUUUCCUUCGACUGUUUCAGAAGGUCUCCCCUGGAGGAAACCUGGACCAACAUCCAGGGGGAGGUUUAAGAUCAGAAAAGCAGAAAAACAAUAUUCAUGCCUUUUUUUAAAUUGAUGAAUAUAUUAAUGUUACUCCAUAGAUAUCCUGUGGCUAUGGGCUGGUGCAUGGCUCAUUUGGGGAAUGUCCAUUUGAAUAAUGUUUUGUGUAUUCAUACAUUGUCCCUGUCCGCCUUGAUGAUAUUAUUCUCAUGCUUACCGUUUAUGAUGUCUGUAAUUUCAUAGUUGGUAGAUAUAGAAAACACCCUUCUUGUUAAAAAAAGGUAUCUUGAUAAAGUAAUGCAUAUUAAUGAGGCUACAUCUCAGUAGUACAGAUGCAUUGCAUUGCCUACCAGAACGAUAAAGGUGGGAGGACUUCCGUCCUCAUGCUAAUUGUCAUUGUGAAAGUUAUUCACAGACAUCAAAGCCCUGAGUCAUUAGUGAAUGCAUUUUUACCUGUAGAAACACAUUCACAUAACCCUUUUCAAUGUAUCAAUUUAACAUUGACAGAAGUGUCCCUAAAAGUUAGCUCGUUAAUUGUUUGCAUAAGAGGGAACUUGACUCUUAAAUGGAACAUUUCAGGGUUUUUUUUGUAACCUUCAGAUAUUUAAUGGAUAAUAAUGCAUUUUCCUUCAGUCUAUUAUGUUUAUGUAACAAAUACACUGUAAACAUGUACUUUAGAAUAUUGUGUUUUCUCAUAAAUAUGCCAUUUUUUUAUUGAUGUUGAAGAAAAAAAACUGUAAAUAACAAUGAAAAAGGAAAACAUUUGUACUUGUAAAGUAGUUGUGUUUUCAGCCUAAUUGUAAUAAAGUGUUUUGUUUUUAUACACAAUAUCUGGUCUGACCUAAGUAGUGAUAAUCAUAUCUUUACGUUGUAAGUUUGAGCCAUGUAGUCUGAAGAAAGCUUGUGAUUGUGUCUCUGGCACCCUACGUUAUCUCCCAAGAAAGGCAAUAUUACCACUGCACUGGAUAACCUAUCUAUCUAUAGGGGCAACCAGCUAAUAUUUUCAUUACAUACAGUGCAUUCGGAAAGUAUUCAGACCCCUUGACUUUUUCCACAUUGUUACAGCCUUAUUCUAAAAUUGAUUCAAUUGCCCCCCCCUACAGAUAAUAACCCAUAAUAAGAAAGCAAAAACAGGUUUUUGAUUAAAAAAAUAAUAAAACAAUGUACUAAAAAUGAAAUAUCACAUUUACAAAUAUUCAGACCCUUUACUCAGUACUUUGUUGAAGCACCUUUGACAGCGAUUACAGCCUCGAGUCUUCUUGGGUAUGACGCUACAAGCUUGGUACACCUGUAUUUGGGGAGUUUCUCCCAUUUUUCUCUGCAGAUCCUCUCAAGUUCUGUCAGAUUGGAUAGGGAGCGUCGCUGCAGUUUUUUCAGGUCUCUCCAGAGAUGUUCGAUCGGGUUCAGGUCCGGGCUCUGGCUGUUCCAUUCAUGGACAUUCAGAGACUUUUCCCGAAUCCACUCCUGCAUUGUCUUGGCUGUGUGCUUAGGGUCGUUGUCCUGUUGGAAGGUGCACCUCUGGAGCAGGCUUUCAUCACGGAUCUCUGUACUUUCCUCCGUUCAUCUUUCCCAGGAUCCUGAUUCAGGCCAAAGAGUUCAAUCUCGGUAUCAUCAGAUCAGAGAAUAUUGUUUCUCAUACCCUUCCCCCAGGUCUGUGUUUCUUUCCAAAUCAUGUCCAAUCAAUUUAAUUUACCACAGGACUCCAAAGAAGUUGUAGAAACAUCUCAAGGAUGAUCACUGGAAACAGGAUGCACCUGAGCUCAAUUUCGAGUCUCAUAGCAAAGGGUCUCAAUUAUUGAAAUAAGGUAAUUCUGUUUUUAUUCUUAAUAAAUUUGCUAAAAUGUUCUACACUUUUCGCUUUGUCAUGAGGUGUUUUGUGUAGCUUAAUGAGAGGAAAACGUAACAAUGUGGAAAAAGUCAAGUGGUCUGAAUACUUUCCGGGUGCACUGUAAGUUUACUAUUUAUAACACAUUUCCUGUGAUAUAACCGUUGGGAAAUAAUGGGUACUACUACCGUAUAAUAGGUUAAAUCAAAAAAUGGAAUAUGCUGCAAAAGCCUUUCUCAGUGUUUUAGUCAUGAGGGAGAAAAGAAAGCUCUCAACAGCGCUGUCUGUUUCCCCCUGCUGGCUGCUGACAGUGGCAGAUAUAUCAGAAGAGAACACAUUUAUUUGAGCAGGAGGGCAGAGAUUCAGGCCUAAAGCCACUCAGAAGAUCCUAGAUCACUGGAUCAGAGGGCAUGUCACACAGUGUCAGAAGAGUCAGACUGUGUAGAAGGGCUAUACACACCACUAUAGUUAAUGUUGCUAUCACUGCUAACAUUUAAAAGACCAGUAUUGUAAUCUGGUCUGUUAACGGGAGCACAUAAGAAGACAAAGGCCAAUUUAAUGCAAUGA
Oncorhynchus mykiss (rainbow trout) is the source of this 3305-nucleotide long non-coding RNA. Lineage: Eukaryota; Metazoa; Chordata; Actinopteri; Salmoniformes; Salmonidae. The record is from Ensembl.